GACGAACGCUGGCGGCGUGCUUAACACAUGCAAGUCGAACGGAAAGGCCCUGCUUUUGUGGGGUGCUCGAGUGGCGAACGGGUGAGUAACACGUGAGUAACCUGCCCUUGACUUUGGGAUAACUUCAGGAAACUGGGGCUAAUCUCGGAUAGGAGCUCCUGCUGCAUGGUGGGGGUUGGAAAGUUUCGGCGGUUGGGGAUGGACUCGCGGCUUAUCAGCUUGUUGGUGGGGUAGUGGCUUACCAAGGCUUUGACGGGUAGCCGGCCUGUGAGGGUGACCGGCCACAUUGGGACUGAGAUACGGCCCAGACUCCUACGGGAGGCAGCAGUGGGGAAUAUUGCACAAUGGGCGGAAGCCUGAUGCAGCAACGCCGCGUGCGGGAUGACGGCCUGCGGGUUGUAAACCGCUUUCGCCUGUGACGAAGCGUGAGUGACGGUAAUGGGUAAAGAAGCACCGGCUAACUACGUG
This 468-nucleotide ribosomal RNA is filed under the name uncultured bacterium. RNAcentral describes it as "partial 16S ribosomal RNA". It matches the Rfam family "Bacterial small subunit ribosomal RNA", at positions 28 to 507 of the family's 1533-position model. The record is from RNAcentral.